AACUAAUUUCGCAAAUGGGAGCAGGUGAAAACAUGAUUAUUUGAACAAAUCAAGAGCACGUACAGUAACUUACGAAAGUAUUCGAACACUUGUAGAAACCUUUUACCACUAUAUUCUGUGUGUUAUACGAAACAUCUUGAAAUUUCAGUAAUAGUGUAAUGAGACCGGUUAUCACAGUUAUAUUGGUACAGCUUGAAAUAAAUCUGAAAAUGUACAUGGAAGCUACAACGUAUUUAGUGGAAAUCAGUUUCAGAUUUAACAAAUAUAAUGAAGACAAUCAUGUCUCAUUAGAGCAAUAACGAAAUUUCGAAAUGUUUUAUAUAACGCUUAUAAUGUAUACAUAAAAAUUUUCUAUAUUUCACAACGUUCCACGUAAAAGAUGAAUUACGAUAGCAACUGCAAAUUACGAGUAGCUGCAAUGCAUUGACAAGUACUCGGAGAAGCAAGUUAACAUCUACUCGUUAAUGAAAAUUUCGCAUAGUUGUUCAUAUACGAUGAGAUUAUUUCGCGUUUUUCAACAACAGAGAUAACAAAUGAGGAUGGGAGAAAUAUUCUGGAAGUAUGGAUUUUGAAUUAUAUAAUGUACAAUAUAAUAUAAAAAUAAAACUUUUGUUGUUAUUUCUAUACUCAGAGGUACAACAGAACAGUGAACUAAAUGAGCUCGAAUCAAUAAUGAAGCACAUCUGCACAUACUUUAGACAUUUGUUUUAUUAGAACAAAUAUAAGGUUCAUAAAUUACCACAUUGAAAACAUUCUUGAAAAUCAUCAGUAUAUGUCUGGAAAGCUACAAAUUACUCUCUAAUUAGAAAACGCUGCAAAAAAACUCUGACUGUAAUUUCAAAUUCUUAUGAUUUUAUUUGAAAUCUUACGUAAGUACAUAAUUAUAUGGAAUUUUUUGCCACACUGAGGGUGAGAUUAGAGAUCAAACUUCGUUUUACAUAAAAUUUAUCGAUGGAAUGGAAUAUGAAUUAUUGGAAAAUCUACCUACAGAAAAACACUUUUCAGAUCAGUUAUAAGAUUAAUAAUUUGUAUUUCUUUAGAAAUUUUUAAAUCAAUCAUGAAAAAAGGAAGCGAAAAAGUAAUUUAUCACAGUUCAAAGUACAAUGAAUAGGAAUUAGCUCUGAAAUCAUUAUUUCCACUCUUCGCGGCGAUGAUGUUUGUUGCUUUCUUAUCAUAAGAUCAGAUAUCUGCAUUACUUUCUGGCUUAAUUAGCGGAUCGUGUAAUCGCAAAUUAAUUUUCAUUUACGUGUUUUCACCCGCAUGCUCAUAUGCUGUAUGAUUUUAUUGUAACGCAGGUAUCUGCCUCACGAAACUAAUGCGAGUAAAUUGCACUUCAUAAUCACACGAUCGUACGCCUUGAUGCCUACCAUCGGAUAAUCAGGGCAUAUCAAGGUUGAUCCAAUAGAUCCCCAUUGGCGUACAUGCGGGUUGUAUUAUAAAGAUCUCACUUAUGAAGAUUCUGCAUCAUCAGUCCUACGCUUGUGAUCGGCGAGGGCUGAUAUCCAGGCUAAUGUCAGUGAAAUUAAGAUCAUUGCUGAUGCAAGUCUGCACCUUCAAGUGUCCUCGAAAUAUUUAAUCGCCUAUAUUAUUUCCAAAUUUCACUAGUUAUCUCUCUUUCAACGUAAUUUGCAUUAAAUAAAAAAUAUUUAGAUAGUUUCAUUGAAAAGUAUUUAAUCUAAUAUCGCAAAAUACAUCCUCGACAGUAUUUUUUAAAUAACAAAUUUUUCGCAAAAAGGACAUAUCCACUUCUAAAUGCGCUAAAAAAUAUGAAAUAAUUUCUUUUUUGUUUAUAUUAUAUUCGGACACAUAUGCAAUAAUGGUUCAAGUCACCCACUUACUUACAACACAACAUGUUCAAUAUAUUGCAACCUUUUCGAAAACGGCGCAAAAUGCUGUAAAAUGUUUCUAGUUUAGCAAUACUUGAGGUCUAUAUUAAUAAAUUUCAACCUGUUUAUCUUUAUCUGAUUCAAAUUUCAACAAAUUUACAUUUUAUUGCAUUAAAUUGCGAUAUAUUAUAGCACAAUGCCACCAAGAACAUGUUUUAAUAAUGGCCAAAUUGGUAAGCGCCGCUUGUAUCCGAGCGGAUACAAAUUGCAUUCAAUGUAAAUUAAUAGUGGACAGAUUAAAGAAAUUAUGUGUACAUCAAACUAGUCACUAACUUAAGAUACAAUCAUUACAAUUAUCGAUGUUGUAUAAUUAUAAAUAGGAACAGACUAUAUAUUAGUAGCAUUUUUAAUUUUGCACCGCCUUCGAAAGGGUUGCAAUAUACAUUUAAUAUGCUGUUUAGUAAGCGAAUGAAUGACCUUAACCGUUGUUGCAUAUGUGUUGGAAUAGAAUAUAAAUAAAAUAGAAAUUAUUUUAGACUUUCUAGCGAAUUUCGAAGUCGGUAACAUGCCUUUUAGAAAAAUUUUUAUCUCACAUUUGUUAGCAUAGUGAUUAAUAUUACAAAGCCAACGUAGAAUGAUUUCCAUUAUCGUUAAGAAGAUGGUAAUUUAUUUUUAUCUAUUUAUUAUUUAUUUCAAUUUUUAAUCCUUUUAAACGAAUCCGGAGAAUAAUUUUUUUUAUGGCGGAAACACGAGUUGAAGCCUAUAUUGAAAAUCACAAUCGUCGAACAAUUUCCUCAUGCAGAGUAAAUUACUGAAAUAGCGCUCGCAGGUUGCUGCUUUGAAUGCAGUACACGAAGAAGGAGUAAUUCUAGAGGACCGUUGCAUACAAUAAAAUAAGCCAAGAAAUCACGAGUUAUGUUGGGACGAAACAUAUCAAUUUCUGAUGGUUUGAUAAACGACGCUAUGGAAAUCGUAAAUGAAUUUACAUGGUCAGCACUUCGAAGAAAUCAGCUAGAAGUGGGAAAAUACUUACAUAAUUUGACGGCGAAUUCAUUGCAAGCAGAUUCAAAGAUACUGAUAGCUACAUUUCAAUAUCUUCAGUACUAACAACGAAGGUUAUGGAGAAGUUGAGCGAAGAAUAUUACCCUUAAUUCUAAGUUGGACAGUAACCGUAUAUAAAUUACACUAAAUAGAGUAAUUGAUCUUGACAAAAAGAAUUUCGCCAAGAUCUACGUUGCUCUUAGUCGUGUAAAAAAUUUGGACAACUACCCAAUCUUAUCACUUCCAGUGACGAGUUUGUGAAGAAACUAUCAGACACAAUGAAAUAAAAUGGGUGAAUAAUAAUAGGUCAUUUGCAAUAACAAUAGUUCACAGUAAACAAAUUGGAAAAAUUUUGUAAAUGGGACCAAUCGGUGAAUUAGUCCUACAAGAUACAGAAGGUUUCAUUCCGAUAAUUCAAUCCAGAGAGUAAUCGACGAACAUUAAAAUUAGAUUUUUGCAAAAAAGGUAGUUUACAAUAAACAAAACCAAAAAUUUUUUUGGCGGGACCAGUGGAAGAACAUGUCCUACGAGAUACAAAAGGAAUCAUCCCGAUUGGUCAAUCCGUUUCGUAGAAAUCGGCGAACAUACAUGAAAAAGAAAAAGAGGAAGAAGAUUACUUAUCAAAUUAAGAUACCUCCCUUUUUUUCCGAAGUCGGUAUAAAAAUAAUGCUGAUGAUUGCCGAUUAACUGAUUUACGAUUGAAGAUUGUAAUGAUAUUCAGUAGCAGAUAACAGGAAUGAGAAUUCUCUCGGUCAAAGCUAUCAUUUAUGUCAGUAAAACAACGUUUAUCUGGAAGUUAAUGAAUAGAGAAACUUGAACUAUGAGAUAAGAAUGCAUGGAAUAUUUAAUGCUACAAUGAUACAAUAGUUAAUUUUAGUAUCUUGUUUCUAAUUGUCUGUUUCGUAUUAGUGAAAUAUACUUGAAUAUAUAAACUCAUACUCAUGAUUUUAUUAACAUGUUUUAUAUUAUUAUGUUGAAGAAUUUCUGAAUUUGCAAUAUUCUGUUUAAAGUAAAAAAAUAUAUUUAUUCUUUUAUGUACAAAAAUUGAAGUAUGUAGUAUUUACAAGUAUCUUAUUUCUGCAAUAGCAUGUAAGUAACGCAAUGUA
Bombus pyrosoma is the source of this 3973-nucleotide long non-coding RNA. RefSeq lists it as uncharacterized. The record is from RefSeq and is a predicted model, not a curated record. Lineage: Eukaryota; Metazoa; Arthropoda; Insecta; Hymenoptera; Apidae. The transcript has 5 exons.